RNAcentral lists this non-coding RNA (21 nucleotides) under Caenorhabditis elegans. The record is from RNAcentral. Lineage: Eukaryota; Metazoa; Nematoda; Chromadorea; Rhabditida; Rhabditidae.
UCUCUCAUAACUUUUUGCUGA